UGUGACCAUACCAAACUGUUGCCUCGGCGGGGUCACGCCCCGGGUGCGUCGCAGCCCCGGAACCAGGCGCCCGCCGGAGGGACCAACCAAACUCUUUCUGUAGUCCCCUCGCGGACGUUAUUUCUUACAGCUCUGAGCAAAAAUUCAAAAUGAAUCAAAACUUUCAACAACGGAUCUCUUGGUUCUGGCAUCGAUGAAGAACGCAGCGAAAUGCGAUAAGUAAUGUGAAUUGCAGAAUUCAGUGAAUCAUCGAAUCUUUGAACGCACAUUGCGCCCGCCAGUAUUCUGGCGGGCAUGCCUGUCCGAGCGUCAUUUCAACCCUCGAACCCCUCCGGGGGGUCGGCGUUGGGGAUCGGGAACCCCUAAGACGGGAUCCCGGCCCCGAAAUACAGUGGCGGUCUCGCCGCAGCCUCUCCUGCGCAGUAGUUUGCACAACUCGCACCGGGAGCGCGGCGCGUCCACGUCCGUAAAACACCCAACUUCUGAAA
This 488-nucleotide ribosomal RNA is filed under the name Trichoderma gamsii. Its description in RNAcentral is "eukaryotic LSU rRNA". The stretch from base 159 to 312 matches the Rfam family "5.8S ribosomal RNA". Lineage: Eukaryota; Fungi; Ascomycota; Sordariomycetes; Hypocreales; Hypocreaceae. The record is from RNAcentral.